GAAGAAAUCAGGCGCAAAUUUCACAUCCAGGUUACAUAACUGAAAAACAGAUCAGCGCUUUGAUUUCCAAAUGCUCAGGUUUGGAGAAGAGGACGUCACGUCUACAGAGUGAGGCUAAUAGCACCACCGCAAGCAACUAAAGCUCAUCAACAUUGAAUUCAAAUUCAAGUUGGAUGAGAUUGAGCUGACUGUCCUUUACUACGCUUCCAAGAGAGAUAAUCGUUACAAGGCGACAGAUUUCCCAUUUGACUCACGAACUGGACAAAACUUGCCAACUGAAAGAUCAGCUUACCCGUGAAAACAAGAAAUUGGGCGAUGAGAACGCUGAGCUUAAGAGCCAGUACUCUGAACUCAACUGCAGAUUUCAUGAGUUAGAAAUUGAAUAUCGCCGUCUAGAAAAUGAACGUGAAGAGUUGGCAUACAAAGAAAUUCAGAGGCUGCUCGUAAAGGUGAAGAAUAUCGCGUUCCACUCAUGGAAUUGCAGCUGAGAUGAACGAAUUCAUCUCGAUAUGGAACACUUCACGAUAAGGAGGAAGAGCUCGAGUCUAUCAAGAAGCAAAUGUCUAUAUCUAAAUCAACCAGUUGAACUCUCGUCUUGUCCAUGCGGAAACCAAGUUGAAAACCGAAAUUCAGCGCAUCCGGAAGAAGAUGAUGAUCACAAUCACCGAGUUGGAAAUGAUAUUCGACGUUGCAAACAAAAACAACAUAUCGAGCAAUCCCUGCAAAUUGUCUUAAAUUUUUAGGCAACUAUCUAAUUAUCUGGUUUUUUGCAUAUUAUCAGUUUCUACUCUUGAUAUGUUGUAUUGAAAUUUGGCAAAGUUUUCAUUUUGUAUAACGUAAAGGAAAACAAUAAAUAUCUUGAGAUUUAUUUUUAUCAAA
This is a long non-coding RNA of Daphnia pulex (common water flea), 879 nucleotides long. RefSeq lists it as uncharacterized. The record is from RefSeq and is a predicted model, not a curated record. The transcript is spliced from 6 exons. Lineage: Eukaryota; Metazoa; Arthropoda; Branchiopoda; Diplostraca; Daphniidae.